UCGGGCUCCUACCAAAAUAACGCUUUUCUUCCUCCUGAUUUGCAUCUAGCUGAGGUGCCGGGAAAGAUUGGCCGCAGUACGAGACUGCUGCAGUCUGACGGCCUUUGUUUUCUUGGCAACUCGGCUGUCGGGAGCGGGAGUGCAUGGAGUUCUGGCGGCGCAUGUUAGCAUGAUGCUUCCCAUAAGAACUGAGAUUCAACAUCAGUCCUUGCUUUGCGAGACGCAGAGGGCAGACGCCAUUGCUACCUGAUGAAUUGGUACCAAAUUUGCUUCGGAACAACAGAAAUUUAAAAGGAAGGAGGAACUCUGCUAUAUUUUUUUAAUAAGCAAGAGCUGGAGCUGGAGGACAUGGAUUCAUAAUGACAUUAAUCUCCAUGAUGAAAUUGCUAGAGAGAGAGAGAGAAUAAUAUUCAACAAAGAGUAAAAAUGUGUGAUCAAGUAUCAGUGCUCUGCACCUCUCUGUGCUUGCUGGAAUCAAAUUUAAUUCACGAUUAUUAAUGUUGCUUCAGUUUGUUCUUGGUUUGUUAGGGGCACAACAAAAUCACUUCCGCAUCAUCAUAAUUUGUGUGUACCUCCAGAUUUAUGAAUUUGUUGCUGGGAUUGACACUAAAAUUAUUGUUAUGCUUCAGGAAUUGGUUCCAAUCUACAUCAGAACAAUCAAAAUUUAACGGAAGGAUGUAGCGUUCUUUCUUCCAGUUUCUUAAGGGACAUAUAUUAAAGCCUUGAUUUUCUCAACUAUGUAAAAACAUUUCAAACCGUUGUUCAAACUAUUGACUACUAUAUUAUAUAUUUUGUUAGCACAGACAGAAGGUAAACAGAGCAACUACUGCAAUAUAUUUAUGUAGUUUUGUACCAGUAAUAGGAGAUUGUGUUGCAACAAUAUGUAGAUUUUUGUAAUCUACAAAGGUUACCAAGAUGAAUAUUCGUCAAAUGAGCCAAAGAGAGCAAA
Molecule: long non-coding RNA, 949 nt
Organism: Triticum aestivum (bread wheat)
Lineage: Eukaryota; Viridiplantae; Streptophyta; Magnoliopsida; Poales; Poaceae
Exons: 3
Source: RefSeq, a predicted model, not a curated record